AACGAACGCUGGCGGCAGGCCUCAAACAUGCAAGUCUAGGGGGUGUAGCAAUACAUCACCGGCGGACGGGUGCGUAACGCGUGGGAAUGUACCUAUUGGUUCGGAACAACACAGGGAAACUUGUGCUAAUACCGGAUGAGCCCGAAAGGGGAAAGAUUUCUCGCCAAUAGAUCAGCCCGCGUCCGAUUAGCUAGUUGGUGGGGUUAAAGCCUACCAAGGCGACGAUCGGUAGCUGUUCUGAGAGGAAGAUCAGCCACACUGGGACUGAGACACGGCCCAGACUCCUACGGGAGGCAGCAGUUGGGAAUCUUGGACAAUGGGGGAAACCCUGAUCCAGCCAUGCCGCGUGAGUGAUGAAGGCCUUCGGGUUGUAAAACUCUUUCGACGGGGACGAUAAUGACGGUACCCGUAGAAGAAGCUCCGGCUAACUUCGUGCCAGCAGCCGCGGUAAUACGAAGGGGGCUAGCGUUGUUCGGAAUUACUGGGCGUAAAGCGCGCGCAGGCGGUCUUCCAAGUCAGUGGUGAAAGCCCGGAGCUCAACUCCGGAACUGCCAUUGAAACUGUGA
This 566-nucleotide ribosomal RNA is filed under the name uncultured bacterium. Its description in RNAcentral is "bacterial SSU rRNA". It matches the Rfam family "Bacterial small subunit ribosomal RNA", at positions 28 to 638 of the family's 1533-position model. The record is from RNAcentral.